CAGUCGCAAGAUUUAUAUUAUCUUGGCCAUCUCCCGAUCUGCGAGAAACUUUCAAACACCUGAGUGUUACGUACGCAAAUGAAACGUGUAAUCUAUACUAUAUUAAAAGGAUAUAUGAGCUCCAUUGAGCCUAUCCACGUCAGCAUAUAAAAUCAGCCAAUCAUAGUACUUUUUUUUGACACGUCAUAAUAGCUUUCGUAUGGGCUUAACACUUUUGUAUUGGCUCUAUUCAGAUUAUCAUUAGGCCCAUCCCUAACAAAUCUGUUUCUUUCCGCGUCUAUAGUCUCUCCACCCCCUCGACUCUUCCACUUCAUCUUCACGACGCCACCACCGUCAUCAGACGCCAUCGAUCCAGCGCCUCUGCUUCUGAGCGGCGACGAUAACGAGGGAAGCAACAGCAACAGAGGAGGAGAACAACGGAGAUCAUCAUCCGUGAGGAGACCAUGGCUGAGGGAAGCCGCGAGGCUGCUGAGCGGAUCGAGCAGCGGCGGAGGGCGUGCGCUGCGGGAGCCUUCUAUGGUCGUGAGGGAGGCCGCGGCGGAGCAGCUCGAGGAGAGGCAGAGCAAUUGGGCCUACUCGAAGCCCAUCGUGGUGCUGGACAUCGUGUGGAACCUGGCGUUUGUCUCGGUGGCUGGGGCUAUUCUGGUGAUGGCGAGGAAUGAGCAUCCGAUCAUGCCGCUUAGGUUUGACUCUUGGGGUAUGCGUUGCAGUGUGUGUUGCAUAUGGUUUGUGUGUUGGUUGAGUAUAGGAGGAGGAAUAGGGUCAGGAAUAAUAGGACUCCGAGAUCACGUUCUUCUUCUUGGAGGAAAGUCUUCCUCGAUGCUUUGGGUUCCAGGAGGAAUUCACAUGAGGAGGUCUUGAUUGAAAUUAAUAUCUUUAAUUUUGUGAUCCAUCUCCUCUUGAUACUUCUCUUAUAUAAAGCUCUAUCUCUUAAUCUAAAUCUAUCCUAAAUCAAAAAAUCUAAUCUGCAAAAACUACACCCAUGGUUUGGUACUAACGUAAUCUCACCCAAAUCUCAUCGCUCUCCUUACUUAUUUUCUAACUUUUUAUAUUUAGCUUUCAAAACACAUGUGACUAGAAACGUAACCAUUCAGUUAACCGAGCUAACCAACGGAGGAAGACCAGAAAUGGGUCUAAGUCCAAGGUAAAAAUUAAGUCAACUUGUAAUGUGCUUUCAUGUUUAGAAAUCACAGGAAGAAACGUAAAUGUUCGGGUGGUUUACAAAUCAGGAAGGAGUAGAGGGAAGAAAAAGCAAAAAGCCAAGAAAUGGUAGCAUCUCAACAGACGUAGAAGUGAAGAGAGCGAGCGAACAAGAGCCUCCCAAAGAUUACAUUCACGUUAGAGCCAGAAGAGGCCAAGCUACUGAUAGCCACAGCCUCGCUGAGAGGGUAUAUUAGUCUUUUUGGUUUUAAAUUAUAUUUAUUUCUUUAAUGUCUUUAAAUAUAAAAUUAGUUAAUUGAAAUAAGUUGGAUGAAUAUAGGCGUAAAAAAAAUUUCUUAAUAAAUAUGUUAACACAAAAAAAGCGUUAAUAAACACAAUAAAAAAUUUAAAAUAUUUUCAAAUAUAAUUUUUGAUUUUCAAAAAGAAAUUUUGAAAAAAAUAAAACAAAAAAUUUCGAAAAAACAAUUCAAGAAAAAGAGAUUUAUAAAAAAGUUCAAAUUUGAAAAAGUAUAAUUAGAAAACAUAAUUUUUUUAUUUAUGUAAAUAAUGAUUUAUUAUAUAUAUAUAUAAAGGGUAUACGAGUCUUUUACCCCUUAAUGAAAAAUGUAUUUUUAAAAAUGUCUCUUUAGUGGUGGUAAAGAUGAAAAGUGGUACCAUGAAAAUGGUAAACAUAAAAUUUCCCUUUAAUAAUUUUUUUAGCCGGAUUUGGAUUGUGCUGAAAACCGGUAAAUUCACUUAAAACUUGGUCAUACUCACUAAACCAAUGAUGCAGAUCGAUAUUAAAUUUGUUUCUUUAAAAUAAAAUCAAGUUAAAAAUAACUGUACGUUUUAACAAGACUACAUUAAAAAAAAAUCUAUAUUAGCUUUUAUUAUCUAUCUAACUAAAUUAGUUUUCAAUAUAUUUUAUAUUAUUUUGAACUUUUCAUUUUAUUUUCAUAUUAUUUUUAGAUCUAACAAAAAUAUAAAGUUUUAUAAAAAAUAAUUUUAUAAUUCAUAUAUAUAGUUACUUAAAUUUAAAUUAUAUUAAAUUUUAAAAUCCGGCAGAACCGGUCCGACCACUGACCCAACUAAAAUACUGAGCCAUUGUCCGAUCCGGUUUCCAAAAUAUUGGUGGCAAGGAUAGAAUUAAUAUCGUCCACUUUAUAAAUAAUCAAAAUAAAAAAAACUAUAUUGAUAAUAAAAAAAUAUAUAUGAUCUUAAAUUUAUAUUAAUAUGUUAAAUUUACAUAAAAGUCAAUUCAUAUGUAUACUUAGUUUUGUUAGUUAGAUAUACCCUAAAUGUUUUUCAGAUUAUAAUAGUGAUUAUGUUCUUCCAACAUUUUGAAAAUGGAAAAUAUAAAACAACAAGUGAAAAAAUUGCACAAUUAUUUAUACCAAAAUAAAAUGAAUUUUUUUGGUUAAAAAAAAUUAUAAAAACAUUAUUUUGUAAAACUUUUGUGUAUUAUUAAUAGUACUUAUCAAACGACCACUUGGUUAACUACAAUGAUUUUAUCAAUCACUAUUUUUUCUAUUUAGUCUAACAUUAUAUUUAUUUUUUUUCAACUAUAAGUUUUGUUAAACAAUACAAAUAUAUGUAAAAUAAAUUAUUGAAAACUUUGUUUUAGCCAUUAUCCGCGCGUAGCGCGGACAAAAGAUCUAGUUAUGUAUAAUCGUAUGUUAAUGCACGCAUGUAAACAAGAAUCUCUUGGCAGUUUUCAAAACUUUCCUCUCAUGGAUUCGUUUCCUUUUCUAUCUGAUCUCCCUCUAUCUCUCGCCGUGGAAUGAAGAAAAUGCGCUACAGAUAAAGUAAUGAUGAUGAUGAAGAAGAAGAUGCCAAUUCGGUUC
Molecule: long non-coding RNA, 2984 nt
Filed under: Brassica napus (rape)
Lineage: Eukaryota; Viridiplantae; Streptophyta; Magnoliopsida; Brassicales; Brassicaceae
Description: long non-coding RNA (BNAP_LNC003070)
Source: RNAcentral